AGUGAACGCUGGCGGUAGGCCUAACACAUGCAAGUCGAACGGCAGCACAGUAAGAGCUUGCUCUUACGGGUGGCGAGUGGCGGACGGGUGAGGAAUACAUCGGAAUCUACUUUUUCGUGGGGGAUAACGUAGGGAAACUUACGCUAAUACCGCAUACGACCUACGGGUGAAAGCAGGGGAUCUUCGGACCUUGCGCGAUUGAAUGAGCCGAUGUCGGAUUAGCUAGUUGGCGGGGUAAAGGCCCACCAAGGCGACGAUCCGUAGCUGGUCUGAGAGGAUGAUCAGCCACACUGGAACUGAGACACGGUCCAGACUCCUACGGGAGGCAGCAGUGGGGAAUACUGGACAAUGGGCGCAAGCCUGAUCCAGCCAUACCGCGUGGGUGAAGAAGGCCUUCGGGUCGUAAAGCCCUUUUGUUGGGAAAGAAAAGCAGCAGGUUAAUACCCCGCUGUUCUGACGGUACCCAAAGAAUAAGCACCGGCUAACUUCGUG
Molecule: ribosomal RNA, 492 nt
Filed under: uncultured bacterium
Lineage: Bacteria
Description: partial 16S ribosomal RNA
Rfam family: Bacterial small subunit ribosomal RNA
Source: RNAcentral